GGGGGUGUAGCUCAGCUGGGAGAGCACCUGCUUUGCAAGCAGGGGGUCGGCGGUUCGAAUCCGCUCACCUCCA
RNAcentral lists this transfer RNA (73 nucleotides) under bacterium. RNAcentral describes it as "tRNA-Ala". It matches the Rfam family "tRNA". Rfam says of the family: Transfer RNA (tRNA) molecules are approximately 80 nucleotides in length. Their secondary structure includes four short double-helical elements and three loops (D, anti-codon, and T loops). Further hydrogen bonds mediate the characteristic L-shaped molecular structure. tRNAs have two regions of fundamental functional importance: the anti-codon, which is responsible for specific mRNA codon recognition, and the 3' end, to which the tRNAs corresponding amino acid is attached (by aminoacyl-tRNA synthetases). tRNAs cope with the degeneracy of the genetic code in two manners: having more than one tRNA (with a specific anti-codon) for a particular amino acid; and 'wobble' base-pairing, i.e. permitting non-standard base-pairing at the 3rd anti-codon position. RNAcentral also lists the same sequence under 1 other name. The record is from RNAcentral.